RNAcentral lists this ribosomal RNA (350 nucleotides) under uncultured bacterium. Its description in RNAcentral is "bacterial SSU rRNA". It matches the Rfam family "Bacterial small subunit ribosomal RNA", at positions 356 to 703 of the family's 1533-position model. The record is from RNAcentral.
GAGGAAUAUUGGUCAAUGGUCGGAAGACUGAACCAGCCAUGCCGCGUGAAGGAAGAAGGAUCUAUGGUUUGUAAACUUCUUUUAUUUGGGAAUAAACCUCUCUACGUGUAGAGAGCUGAAUGUACCAAAUGAAUAAGCACCGGCUAACUCCGUGCCAGCAGCCGCGGUAAUACGGAGGGUGCAAGCGUUAUCCGGAAUCAUUGGGUUUAAAGGGUCCGCAGGCGGGAAUGUAAGUCAGAGGUGAAAUCCUACAGCUCAACUGUAGAACUGCCUUUGAUACUGCGUUUCUUGAAUUCGAUCGAAGUGGGCGGAAUAUGACAUGUAGCGGUGAAAUGCAUAGAUAUGUCAUA